RNAcentral lists this ribosomal RNA (240 nucleotides) under uncultured bacterium. Its description in RNAcentral is "partial 16S ribosomal RNA". It matches the Rfam family "Bacterial small subunit ribosomal RNA", at positions 15 to 236 of the family's 1533-position model. The record is from RNAcentral.
GAUCAUGGCUCAGGAUGAACGCUGGCGGCGUGCCUAACACAUGCAAGUCGAACGAGGCAAAUGAGAUGAAGUUUUCGGAUGGAUUCUUAUUUACCGAGUGGCGGACGGGUGAGUAACGCGUGAGUAACCUGCCCUGGAGUGGGGGACAACAGUUGGAAACGACUGCUAAUACCGCAUAAGCCCACGGAUCCGCAUGGAUCUGCGGGAAAAGGAUUUAUUCGCUUCAGGAUGGACUCGCGU